This 271-nucleotide ribosomal RNA is filed under the name uncultured prokaryote. Its description in RNAcentral is "partial 16S ribosomal RNA". It matches the Rfam family "Bacterial small subunit ribosomal RNA", at positions 524 to 794 of the family's 1533-position model. The record is from RNAcentral.
CACGUAGGAGGCAAACGUUAUCCGGAUUUACUGGGCGCAAAGCGCGUGUAGGUGGUUCUGUAAGUAGGGCGUGAAAGCUCCCGGCUCAACUGGGAGAGGCCGUUCUAAACUGCAGAGCUAGAGGAUGGUAGAGGGAGGUGGAAUUCCAGGUGUAGCGGUGGAAUGCGCAGAUAUCUGGAGGAACACCAGUGGCGAAGGCGGCCUCCUGGACCAUUCCUGACACUCAGACGCGAAAGCUAGGGUAGCAAACGGGAUUAGAUACCCGUGUAGU